GCGGGUAUGGCGGAAUAGGCAGACGCAAGGGACUUAAAAUCCCUCGGGAGCAAUCCCGUGCCGGUUCAAGUCCGGCUACCCGCA
Molecule: transfer RNA, 84 nt
Filed under: Lachnospiraceae bacterium
Lineage: Bacteria; Bacillati; Bacillota; Clostridia; Lachnospirales; Lachnospiraceae
Description: tRNA-Leu
Rfam family: tRNA
About the family: Transfer RNA (tRNA) molecules are approximately 80 nucleotides in length. Their secondary structure includes four short double-helical elements and three loops (D, anti-codon, and T loops). Further hydrogen bonds mediate the characteristic L-shaped molecular structure. tRNAs have two regions of fundamental functional importance: the anti-codon, which is responsible for specific mRNA codon recognition, and the 3' end, to which the tRNAs corresponding amino acid is attached (by aminoacyl-tRNA synthetases). tRNAs cope with the degeneracy of the genetic code in two manners: having more than one tRNA (with a specific anti-codon) for a particular amino acid; and 'wobble' base-pairing, i.e. permitting non-standard base-pairing at the 3rd anti-codon position.
Source: RNAcentral